Molecule: ribosomal RNA, 497 nt
Filed under: uncultured bacterium
Lineage: Bacteria
Description: partial 16S ribosomal RNA
Rfam family: Bacterial small subunit ribosomal RNA
Source: RNAcentral
GAUGAACGCUGGCGGCGUGCCUAAUACAUGCAAGUCGAGCGAACGGACGAGAAGCUUGCUUCUCUGAUGUUAGCGGCGGACGGGUGAGUAGCACGUGGAUAACCUACCUAUAAGACUGGGAUAACUUCGGGAAACCGUAGCUAAUACCGGAUAAUAUUUUGAACCGCAUGGUUCAAAAGUGAAAGACGGUCUUGCUGUCACUUAUAGAUGGAUCCGCGCUGCAUUAGCUAGUUGGUAAGGUAACGGCUUACCAAGGCAACGAUGCAUAGCCGACCUGAGAGGGGGAUCGGCCACACUGGAGCUGGGACAGGGUCCAGACUACUACGGGAGGCAGCAGUAGGGAAUCUUCCGCAAUGGGCGAAAGCCUGGCGGAGCAACGCCGCGUGAGUGAUGAAGGUCUUCGGAUCGUAAAACUCUGUUAUUAGGGAAGAACAUAUGUGUAAGUAACUGUGCACAUCUUGACGGUACCUAAUCAGAAAGCCACGGCUAACUACGUG